CAACAUUUAACUGGGACUGGCUUACAGG
This 28-nucleotide non-coding RNA is filed under the name Mus musculus (house mouse). Lineage: Eukaryota; Metazoa; Chordata; Mammalia; Rodentia; Muridae. The record is from RNAcentral.